This is a long non-coding RNA of Gallus gallus (chicken), 1014 nucleotides long. The record is from Ensembl. NCBI's taxonomy places the organism in Eukaryota, Metazoa, Chordata, Aves, Galliformes, Phasianidae.
GUCACACAGAGCAGAGCUCAGCGCUGUCCUCCGCUCCCUGUGAGGAGCUGCAGCCACCAUGAGGCCUCCCGUCAGCCUGCUGAUGGACAUGAUGGUGCCAAGAAGCCCAGUAGAGAAUACAGAAUCCUUUGGCCAGCCCUCAGAAGGCCGAGGGGAUGGCUUGCAGGCAGUCCUUGCCACACUGAGCAAGGCCAGCCUGUCCUUGAUGCUGGGCCACUCUUGUCAGCUCUGCUGAUGCCUGGUGUCUCACAGCAGCUGAGUUUUCUGGCUUCUCAUACUUUCCAUGACUGCCUCUUGGGCCACUGGCAGAGCCCUCUGGGGGCAAGCAGGUGCUGCAGAUUUGCUGCUCUGAAGGGUUUGUGGGUUGGUUUGCUUGUAACCUUUAAAAUUAUCAUGUUAAUGAAAGUUUUGCAGGAGUUUAACACGAAAUCACAGAGGCCAGGGUGUUCACCUACAUUCAGUAGGUAUGGGGGGCUUUUGUUCCUGCUGUCUUUAUGCAGUGCCAUCCAGGGCCGGGUGGUGCUGCAGCCCAUGUCAGGUGAUGUAGAUCAUCAGUUUCCUGCCUUAGUGGCUAUCGACUGUCUGUUUCUCCUAUGAGAACUGUGCAGAUCACCUGCCUUACUUGCCUGGACAGCUGUGUUCCUAUCAUCCAUACAUCUUUCUCCCCAUUGAGCACAUUACUACAACACCUGCACAGGUUUGCAGUCCAAUUUUGGGGCUUUUCUGUUUGCCUGGCAGAUCAGGACAGAUGGAUGCUGAUGCCAUGCAGGGCUGUGCAGUUUCUCUUUCUGCCUCUGGUUUCCUCCUGUUCCUGCCCUGGCAGCAGCAUAGGUAUGCUUACCAUGGUGUACUGCUGUACAAUGUGAGCAUUGACCCAUACCUUGUGUCAGCUGCUGUCAUCUUUGUCCACACAGAGAUGCAGUGACAAAGUAUCCCAGGGGAUUCUGGUGCCUUCUGUUAGCUUUCAGAGUAAGGGAUGCCUGGUCUGGAGCACGUCAGCAGCAAAACUCAUGU